AGAGUGGAAUGCAGCCAAGAAUGACUUGCCAACGUAGAGCAACAAAUGGGUUUUCCUGAAUUUCCUAUGUUGGCAGGUUGUUCUUGGCUACAUCUCGCUUUCU
This 103-nucleotide microRNA precursor is filed under the name Nelumbo nucifera (sacred lotus). Lineage: Eukaryota; Viridiplantae; Streptophyta; Magnoliopsida; Proteales; Nelumbonaceae. The record is from RNAcentral.